RNAcentral lists this microRNA precursor (80 nucleotides) under Schistosoma mattheei. RNAcentral's name for it is "mir-3492 microRNA precursor family". It matches the Rfam family "mir-3492 microRNA precursor family". The record is from Rfam by way of RNAcentral. Lineage: Eukaryota; Metazoa; Platyhelminthes; Trematoda; Strigeidida; Schistosomatidae.
AGCCUUCUGUAUCCAUGCUGAGAUUUCGUAACACACACCAGACCACAAGGGUUGAUGAGACUCCUAAGAUAAGUGAAGCG